This 460-nucleotide ribosomal RNA is filed under the name uncultured bacterium. Its description in RNAcentral is "partial 16S ribosomal RNA". It matches the Rfam family "Bacterial small subunit ribosomal RNA", at positions 338 to 795 of the family's 1533-position model. The record is from RNAcentral.
CCUACGGGCGGCAGCAGUGAGGAAUAUUGGUCAAUGGACGCGAGUCUGAACCAGCCAAGUAGCGUGAGGGAUGACUGCCCUAUGGGUUGUAAACUUCUUUUAUAUGGGAAUAAAAUGUUCCACGUGUGGGAUUUUGUAUGUACCAUAUGAAUAAGGAUCGGCUAACUCCGUGCCAGCAGCCGCGGUAAUACGGAGGAUCCGAGCGUUAUCCGGAUUUAUUGGGUUUAAAGGGAGCGUAGGUCGAUUGUUAAGUCAGUUGUGAAAGUUUGCGGCUCAACCGUAAAAUUGCAGUUGAAACUGGCAGUCUUGAGUACAGUGGAGGUAGGCGGAAUUCGUGGUGUAGCGGUGAAAUGCUUAGAUAUCACGAAGAACUCCGAUUGCGAAGGCAGCUUACUAAACUGCCACUGACAUUGAGGCUCGAAAGUGUGGGUAGCAAACAGGAUUAGAUACCCCUGUAGUC